This 262-nucleotide ribosomal RNA is filed under the name uncultured bacterium. RNAcentral describes it as "partial 16S ribosomal RNA". It matches the Rfam family "Bacterial small subunit ribosomal RNA", at positions 27 to 290 of the family's 1533-position model. The record is from RNAcentral.
GGACGAACGCUGGCGGCGUGCUUAACACAUGCAAGUCGAGCGGUAAGGCCCUUUCGGGGGUACGACGAGCGGCGAACGGGUGAGUAACACGUGGGUGACCUGCCCUCAGCUCUGGGAUAAGGCCUGGGAAACCGGGUCUAAUACCGGAUAUGACUCCAUGACGCAUGUUGUGGGGUGGAAAGCCUUGUGCGGGCUGAGGAUGGGCCCGCGGCCUAUCAGCUUGUGGUGGGGUGAUGGCCUACAAGGCGACGACGGUAGCCGG